Molecule: ribosomal RNA, 327 nt
Filed under: uncultured eukaryote
Lineage: Eukaryota
Description: partial 18S ribosomal RNA
Rfam family: Eukaryotic small subunit ribosomal RNA
Source: RNAcentral
CCCUUAGAUGUCCGGGGCCGCACGCGCGCUACAAUGGAUGAAUCAACGCGUCAUCCUGGCCCGAAAGGGUUGGGGAACCGCUGAACCUCAUCCGUGGUUGGGAUUGGGGUUUGUAAUUAUUCCCCAUGAACUAGGAAUUCCCAGUAAGCGCGAGUCAUAAGCUCGCGUUGAUUACGUCCCUGCCCUUUGUACACACCGCCCGUCGCUACUACCGAUUGGAUGGUUUAGUGAGAUCCUCGGAUUGGUCACGGCACGGUGGCAACACUGCGUCGGUGGGCCGAGAAGACGAUCAAACUUGAUCAUCUAGAGGAAGUAAAAGUCGUAACA